CGCGGGGUGGAGCAGUUCGGUAGCUCGCUGGGCUCAUAACCCAGAGGUCGCAGGUUCAAAUCCUGUCCCCGCUAC
RNAcentral lists this transfer RNA (75 nucleotides) under Nocardiopsis dassonvillei. RNAcentral describes it as "tRNA-Met(cat)". It matches the Rfam family "tRNA". From Rfam's summary of the family: Transfer RNA (tRNA) molecules are approximately 80 nucleotides in length. Their secondary structure includes four short double-helical elements and three loops (D, anti-codon, and T loops). The record is from RNAcentral. Lineage: Bacteria; Bacillati; Actinomycetota; Actinomycetes; Streptosporangiales; Nocardiopsidaceae. RNAcentral also lists the same sequence under 30 other names.